Pelobates cultripes (western spadefoot toad) is the source of this 460-nucleotide non-coding RNA. The record is from the annotation of a GenBank genome assembly. Lineage: Eukaryota; Metazoa; Chordata; Amphibia; Anura; Pelobatidae.
CUCUGAACUAGGCCGUGAUCACAGUACACAAUGUUGAAGUCGCUGUGCAAACAGGAGCAGCUUGUCACGUGCCAGAUGCCACUUCAGUACUUAUAAAUUCAAUACUCCACCCUGGAGACGAGCCUCAAACAUGGGCUUCUUCAUUCCUCUUCAUGUACUUCGUGUCCCAUAGGAGAACAUGCUUGUCAGAGUUGUGACACACACAAAAAUAAAUAAACUGGUUAGAGUAACUGGCAUAACAGACACAGUGCAUGCAGACUUGCGUGCCACAUACAUACAGCAGACAGACAAAGAUUGUGGGAGACACACUGGAUUAAAUAUAAGAAUUGGGAGUACCAUACAUACAGAAUGGACAAAGAGACGGAGUUUACUGAAUUCGGUGACCGACGGAUUUGGUUGCAGAUGUGGGGCAGUCCCUCUGGCUGGGGUGCAGUUUCUUAUCCUUCUCUGGUGAGUGACU